Molecule: ribosomal RNA, 494 nt
Filed under: uncultured bacterium
Lineage: Bacteria
Description: partial 16S ribosomal RNA
Rfam family: Bacterial small subunit ribosomal RNA
Source: RNAcentral
GACGAACGCUGGCGGCGUGCUUAACACAUGCAAGUCGAACGGUGAGGCGCCUUCCUUUUUGGUUGGUGUGUAUGAGUGGCGAACGGGUGAGUAACACGUGAGUAACCUUCUCCCUUCUUCUGAACAACCGCAUGCCAGAGUUGCUAAUACAGGAUAUUCUGGGUCUGUCGCAUGGUUAGUCUAGGAUAGCUAUGGUUUCGGUGGUGGAUGGGCUGGCGGCUUAUCAGCUUGUUGGUGGGGUGAUGGCCUACCAAGGCGGUGACGGGUAGCCGACCUGAGAGGGUGGACGGCAAUACAGGGAAGGCAAGACCGACACGACUCCGACGGGAGGCAGCAGGGGGGAAUAUUGCACAAUGGGCGCAAGCCUGAUGCAGCGACGCCGCGGGAGGGAUGGAGGCCGUCGGGUUGUGAACUUCUUUCGGCAGUGAAGCAGGCCUGCCUCGUGUGUGGGUGGGUUGACGGUAGCUGGACAAGAAGCGCCGGCUAACUACGUG